Bombus pyrosoma is the source of this 1409-nucleotide long non-coding RNA. RefSeq lists it as uncharacterized. Lineage: Eukaryota; Metazoa; Arthropoda; Insecta; Hymenoptera; Apidae. The record is from RefSeq and is a predicted model, not a curated record. The transcript has 3 exons.
CGAACUUCGUGCCGCUUGCGAAGUAAAAUUACCGAUCGAGAUUGGCCGGCAAACGGCUCGAUUUCUUUUUUCACGACAGAUUUAUGCGUCGCCGUACGUCGCCGCGAUAGAAUCGCGUGUCACCGUGCGUUUUAUUGCUGAACUGCGUGUCAUCGAUUACGCGACUGGAAACGGAAAAAGGGCGGUUUAUCUUUUAAUGGUAAUUUUUUCUUUAAUUGCAAGAUUUACAUUUCAUAAGAUACGAAUAAAUGUAGAUACUGAAAGUAAAUGUUAGAAAGAUAUAAAUAUUAGAUAUAGAUAUUGGAAAAUAUAAAUAUGAAAAGCGUGUAGAAUACACGUGAGACGCGGUCGUAAAGAUUUGAAUGACAAUCGCAAUAUGUAGAUCAUGUUCCGCGGAAUAUGAAUAAAUACAAUGAAAGAAUUUAACAAGGGAAAUACAACUGUAAAGUCUAUCUCGAAUGAGUAAUGGUAUUAAAAACACUGCAUUGUGAAUGUGAAUAGACAAACAUCUGAUGAAGAAUAUCUAAAGAACAUCUUACAGAGGAAGAAGAUCUUUAAGUAACCCGAAUGAGGAUAAUAUACAUCAUCUACGGAUGGCCGAAGUCAAGAAAUGAAAAUUCGUACAAUUAACAUAAAUUUGGCGAAUUGCCCUAAGCUUGAAAUAGAUGGCCCGACCUAACCGGGAGGAAUAACCUUCCUGUUUCUCUGUCGUAUAACGGGGCUGCGCCUCGUUGCCGAACUUCGAUAUUAGUUCAAGAAGUCACCAUAAACAUUUUGGCAAGCAGCCUCGACGGUCUUUGGCUAAAUUCAGAAGGCAAAGGUUUGCCAAGAAGUCGAACGAGAACCUGUUACGACGUCCAUUAUCGGCUUUGCCGUGGUUUUACUGGACGAUCGCAAGGUAAAGCAAGAAAUCGCGACCACCUUGUUUCACCGGACACGGUGAAAUUUUUAUGAAAUUUUUUCGACGUGCUCGGCCAACUGUGGAAAUUUAUUCUCGUGAUGCUUAUUCCUCCCUCGACGAAUGUUUACGAUACAUAACAAUUUCGAAAGCUGAUUGUUCCUCGAAAAACUCGCGAUCUUUCUCUUUCUGCGAUGUUAAAUUCCUGCUUUUUAUUAGGUACACAGAUUAUUAUUAUUGGCUUAUCAAAGGAUUCUUCGUUGUAAUAAAUUUUCUAAUGCUUAGCGAUGCAGGAUUUUUUCUGAAAAAUUCACUCUUUUCCAUUGUUCCCGUAUUUUUGACGAGACCAAAUACAAAUGGUAUAUUCUUUGAAGUUGAAAGGUAAUAAAUAUUCUUUUUGGACAUAUAUUGCACGGAAUGUAAAAUCUCUGUUUUUCAUGCUCGAACACGAAGAAAUGUUGACGUAUACAGAGAACGAAGCAAUAUUGAUCAAUUUGUGUGAAAAGCGCGC